CCCCGCUCCUAUACGAUGAGUGACAUCCCCGUCAAUCUCUACGUCCCCCUGAAUCACCGACCCAAGAUAUCUGACACCGUCCCUCUUGGCGAUGACCUGAGAUCCAAUCAUCACGUCCCUGCCUACUUCGCUCGGCUUGUCGCUAAACUUGCACUCCAGGUAUUCUAUCUUAGAUCUGCUUAUUUUGAAACCCUUAGACUCGAGAGUCUGUCUUCAUACCUCUAACCUCUCAAUA
Molecule: long non-coding RNA, 235 nt
Filed under: Nicotiana benthamiana
Lineage: Eukaryota; Viridiplantae; Streptophyta; Magnoliopsida; Solanales; Solanaceae
Description: long non-coding RNA (NBEN_LNC021402)
Source: RNAcentral